Molecule: ribosomal RNA, 353 nt
Filed under: uncultured bacterium
Lineage: Bacteria
Description: partial 16S ribosomal RNA
Rfam family: Bacterial small subunit ribosomal RNA
Source: RNAcentral
CCUACGGGUGGCAGCAGUAGGGAAUAUUGCUCAAUGGGGGAAAGCCUGACGCAGCAACGCCGCGUGGAGGAUGAAGGUCUUCGGAUCGUAAACUCCUGUUGUUAGAGAAGAUAAUGACGUUAUCUAAUGAAUAAGCACCGGCUAAAUCCGAGCCAGCAGCCGCGGUAAUACGGAGGGUGCAAGCGUUACUCGGAAUCACUGGGCGUAAAGAGCGCGUAGGCGGUAUAGCAAGUCAGGUGUGAAAUCCUAUGGCUUAACCAUAGAACUGCAUUUGAAACUGUUAUUCUGGAGUAUGUGAGAGGUUGGUGGAAUUCUAGGUGUAGGAGUAAAAUCCGUAGAGAUCAAGAGGAAUA